GACUGCUCCGCUGGCCUAGUGGUUAGAGCGCUCGCCUCGUAUGCGGGAGGUCACGGUUUCAAUUCUGGCCAAGUCA
Non-coding RNA from Potamilus streckersoni, 76 nucleotides. The record is from the annotation of a GenBank genome assembly. NCBI's taxonomy places the organism in Eukaryota, Metazoa, Mollusca, Bivalvia, Unionida, Unionidae.